RNAcentral lists this ribosomal RNA (235 nucleotides) under uncultured bacterium. RNAcentral describes it as "partial 16S ribosomal RNA". It matches the Rfam family "Bacterial small subunit ribosomal RNA", at positions 104 to 339 of the family's 1533-position model. The record is from RNAcentral.
GGGUGCGUAACACGUAUGCAACCUACCUAUAACUGGGGAAUAGCCCGAAGAAAUUCGGAUUAAUACCCUAUAAUAUUUAGUCAUCGCAUGAUGAUUAUCUUAAAACUCCGGUGGUUAUAGAUGGGCAUGCGGCCUAUUAGUUUGUUGGUGAGGUAAUGGCUCACCAAGACUACGAUAGGUAGGGGGUCUGAGAGGAUGAUCCCCCACACUGGUACUGAGACACGGACCAGACUCC